UCGAGAAUCUUCCGCAAUGCGCGCAAGCGUGACGGAGCGACGCCGCGUGGGUGAUGAAGGCCUUCGGGUUGUAAAGCCCUGUCAGCUAUCAGGAAACGCGGGUGGUGAAUAGCUAUCCCGCUUGACCCAAUAGCAGAGGAAGCACCGGCUAAAUACGUGCCAGCAGCCGCGGUAAUACGUAUGGUGCAAACGUUGUUCGGAAUCACUGGGCUUAAAGCGGGCGUAGGCGGUUUGGUCAGUCUGUUGUGAAAUCCCUCGGCUCAACUGAGGAACUGCAACGGAUACUGCCAAGCUAGAGUGCAGGAGGGGAGAGUGGAAUUCCUGGUGGAGCGGUGAAAUGCGUAGAUAUCAGGAGGAACGCCGGUGGCGAAAGCGACUCUCUGGACUGUUACUGACGCUGAGGCCCGAAAGCUAGGGGAGCAAACGGGAUUAGAUACCCGCGUAGUCC
RNAcentral lists this ribosomal RNA (448 nucleotides) under uncultured prokaryote. Its description in RNAcentral is "bacterial SSU rRNA". It matches the Rfam family "Bacterial small subunit ribosomal RNA", at positions 355 to 796 of the family's 1533-position model. The record is from RNAcentral.